This 1401-nucleotide ribosomal RNA is filed under the name Klebsiella sp. Its description in RNAcentral is "bacterial SSU rRNA". It matches the Rfam family "Bacterial small subunit ribosomal RNA". RNAcentral also lists the same sequence under 1 other name. Lineage: Bacteria; Pseudomonadati; Pseudomonadota; Gammaproteobacteria; Enterobacterales; Enterobacteriaceae. The record is from RNAcentral.
GCAGUCGAGCGGUAGCACAGAGAGCUUGCUCUCGGGUGACGAGCGGCGGACGGGUGAGUAAUGUCUGGGAAACUGCCUGAUGGAGGGGGAUAACUACUGGAAACGGUAGCUAAUACCGCAUAACGUCGCAAGACCAAAGUGGGGGACCUUCGGGCCUCAUGCCAUCAGAUGUGCCCAGAUGGGAUUAGCUGGUAGGUGGGGUAACGGCUCACCUAGGCGACGAUCCCUAGCUGGUCUGAGAGGAUGACCAGCCACACUGGAACUGAGACACGGUCCAGACUCCUACGGGAGGCAGCAGUGGGGAAUAUUGCACAAUGGGCGCAAGCCUGAUGCAGCCAUGCCGCGUGUGUGAAGAAGGCCUUCGGGUUGUAAAGCACUUUCAGCGGGGAGGAAGGCGGUGAGGUUAAUAACCUCAUCGAUUGACGUUACCCGCAGAAGAAGCACCGGCUAACUCCGUGCCAGCAGCCGCGGUAAUACGGAGGGUGCAAGCGUUAAUCGGAAUUACUGGGCGUAAAGCGCACGCAGGCGGUCUGUCAAGUCGGAUGUGAAAUCCCCGGGCUCAACCUGGGAACUGCAUUCGAAACUGGCAGGCUAGAGUCUUGUAGAGGGGGGUAGAAUUCCAGGUGUAGCGGUGAAAUGCGUAGAGAUCUGGAGGAAUACCGGUGGCGAAGGCGGCCCCCUGGACAAAGACUGACGCUCAGGUGCGAAAGCGUGGGGAGCAAACAGGAUUAGAUACCCUGGUAGUCCACGCUGUAAACGAUGUCGAUUUGGAGGUUGUGCCCUUGAGGCGUGGCUUCCGGAGCUAACGCGUUAAAUCGACCGCCUGGGGAGUACGGCCGCAAGGUUAAAACUCAAAUGAAUUGACGGGGGCCCGCACAAGCGGUGGAGCAUGUGGUUUAAUUCGAUGCAACGCGAAGAACCUUACCUGGUCUUGACAUCCACAGAACUUUCCAGAGAUGGAUUGGUGCCUUCGGGAACUGUGAGACAGGUGCUGCAUGGCUGUCGUCAGCUCGUGUUGUGAAAUGUUGGGUUAAGUCCCGCAACGAGCGCAACCCUUAUCCUUUGUUGCCAGCGGUUAGGCCGGGAACUCAAAGGAGACUGCCAGUGAUAAACUGGAGGAAGGUGGGGAUGACGUCAAGUCAUCAUGGCCCUUACGACCAGGGCUACACACGUGCUACAAUGGCAUAUACAAAGAGAAGCGACCUCGCGAGAGCAAGCGGACCUCAUAAAGUAUGUCGUAGUCCGGAUUGGAGUCUGCAACUCGACUCCAUGAAGUCGGAAUCGCUAGUAAUCGUAGAUCAGAAUGCUACGGUGAAUACGUUCCCGGGCCUUGUACACACCGCCCGUCACACCAUGGGAGUGGGUUGCAAAAGAAGUAGGUAGCUUAACCUUCGGGAGGGC